AACAGAGGGUGCAAACGUUGUUCGGAAUUACUGGGCGUAAAGCGCGUGUAGGCGGCCAUGCAAGUCGGAUGUGAAAGCCCUCGGCUCAACCGGGGAAGUGCACUCGAAACUGCAAGGCUAGAGUCUCGGAGAGGAUCGUGGAAUUCUCGGUGUAGAGGUGAAAUGCGUAGAUAUCGGGAGGAACACCUGUGGCGAAAGCGGCGCACUGGACCACAACUGACGCUGAGGCGCGAAAGCUAGGGGAGCAAACAGG
This 253-nucleotide ribosomal RNA is filed under the name uncultured bacterium. Its description in RNAcentral is "partial 16S ribosomal RNA". It matches the Rfam family "Bacterial small subunit ribosomal RNA", at positions 524 to 776 of the family's 1533-position model. The record is from RNAcentral.